RNAcentral lists this ribosomal RNA (278 nucleotides) under uncultured Oscillospiraceae bacterium. RNAcentral describes it as "partial 16S ribosomal RNA". It matches the Rfam family "Bacterial small subunit ribosomal RNA", at positions 511 to 788 of the family's 1533-position model. The record is from RNAcentral. Lineage: Bacteria; Bacillati; Bacillota; Clostridia; Eubacteriales; Oscillospiraceae.
GCAGCCGCGGUAAUACGUAGGUGGCAAGCGUUGUCCGGAUUUACUGGGUGUAAAGGGCGCGUAGGCGGGAUAUCAAGUCAGUCGUGAAAUACCGAGGCUCAACCUCGGGGCUGCGAUUGAAACUGAUAUUCUUGAGUAUCGGAGAGGAAAGCGGAAUUCCUAGUGUAGCGGUGAAAUGCGUAGAUAUUAGGAGGAACACCAGUGGCGAAGGCGGCUUUCUGGACGACAACUGACGCUGAGGCGCGAAAGUGUGGGGAGCAAACAGGAUUAGAUACCCC